GGUGAAGGUGGCGGACGGGUGAGUAACGCGUAAAGAACUUGCCUUACAGACUGGGACAACAUUUGGAAACGAAUGCUAAUACCGGAUAUUAUGAUUGGGUCGCAUGAUCUGAUUAUGAAAGCUAUAUGCGCUGUGAGAGAGCUUUGCGUCCCAUUAGUUAGUUGGUGAGGUAACGGCUCACCAAGACGAUGAUGGGUAGCCGGCCUGAGAGGGUGAACGGCCACAAGGGGACUGAGACGCGGCCCUUACUCCUACGGGAGGCAGCAGUGGGGAAUAUUGGACAAUGGACCAAAAGUCUGAUCCAGCAAUUCUGUGUGCACGAAGAAGUUUUUCGGAAUGUAAAGUGCUUUCAGUUGGGAAGAAGUCAGUGACGGUACCAACAGAAGAAGCGACGGCUAAAUACGUGCCAGCAGCCGCGGUAAUACGUAUGUCGCAAGCGUUAUCCGGAUUUAUUGGGCGUAAAGCGCGUCUAGGCGGCUUAGUAAGUCUGAUGUGAAAAUGCGGGGCUCAACCCCGUAUUGCGUUGGAAACUGCUAAACUAGAGUACUGGAGAGGUAGGCGGAACUACAAGUGUAGAGGUGAAAUUCGUAGAUAUUUGUAGGAAUGCCGAUGGGGAAGCCAG
RNAcentral lists this ribosomal RNA (622 nucleotides) under uncultured Fusobacteriota bacterium. RNAcentral describes it as "bacterial SSU rRNA". It matches the Rfam family "Bacterial small subunit ribosomal RNA", at positions 88 to 724 of the family's 1533-position model. Lineage: Bacteria; Fusobacteriati; Fusobacteriota. The record is from RNAcentral.